UGUGGGAGCGAGCCUGCUCGCGAUGACGGCGUGUCAGGUACAGAAAUAUUGGCUGAUACUCCGCCAUCGCGAGCAGGCUCGCUCCCACA
This 89-nucleotide unclassified non-coding RNA is filed under the name Pseudomonas mediterranea. Lineage: Bacteria; Pseudomonadati; Pseudomonadota; Gammaproteobacteria; Pseudomonadales; Pseudomonadaceae. The record is from RNAcentral.